This 219-nucleotide ribosomal RNA is filed under the name uncultured archaeon. Its description in RNAcentral is "partial 16S ribosomal RNA". It matches the Rfam family "Archaeal small subunit ribosomal RNA", at positions 1 to 226 of the family's 1478-position model. The record is from RNAcentral.
UUCCGGUUGAUCCUGCCAGACCCGACUGCUAUCAGAGUAGGACUAAGCCAUGCGAGUCAACGCCGUAAGGCGUGGCAUACGGCUCAGUAACACGUAGUCAACAUGCCCAAAGGACGUGGAUAACCUCGGGAAACUGAGGAUAAACCGCGAUAGGCCAAGGUUUCUGGAAUGAGCCAUGGCCGAAAUCUAUAUGGCCUUUGGAUUGGACUGCGGCCGAUC